GACGAACGCUGGCGGCGUGCUUAACACAUGCAAGUCGAGCGGUAAGGCCCUUUGGGGUACACGAGCGGCGAACGGGUGAGUAACACGUGAGUAAUCUGCCUUUGGCUUGGGAAUAACUUCGGGAAAUCGGGGCUAAUGCCUGAUGUUUACUGUCUGCUGCAUGGUGGGUGGUGGAAAGAUUUUUUGGCCAGGGAUGAGCUCGCGGUCUAUCAGCUUGUUGGUGGGGUAAUGGCUACCAAGGCUUUGACGGGUAGCCGGCCUGAGAGGGUGUUCGGCCACACUGGGACUGAGACACGGCCCAGACUCCUACGGGAGGCAGCAGUGGGGAAUCUUGGACAAUGGGCGCAAGCCUGAUCCAGCCAUGCCGCGUGAGUGAAGAAGGCCUUAGGGUUGUAAAGCU
This 400-nucleotide ribosomal RNA is filed under the name uncultured bacterium. Its description in RNAcentral is "bacterial SSU rRNA". It matches the Rfam family "Bacterial small subunit ribosomal RNA", at positions 28 to 432 of the family's 1533-position model. The record is from RNAcentral.